RNAcentral lists this ribosomal RNA (490 nucleotides) under uncultured bacterium. RNAcentral describes it as "partial 16S ribosomal RNA". It matches the Rfam family "Bacterial small subunit ribosomal RNA", at positions 30 to 507 of the family's 1533-position model. The record is from RNAcentral.
AUUGAACGCUGGCGGCAGGCUUAACACAUGCAAGUCGAGCGGUAGCACAAGAGAGCUUGCUCUCUGGGUGACGAGCGGCGGACGGGUGAGUAAUGUCUGGGAAACUGCCUGAUGGAGGGGGAUAACUACUGGAAACGGUAGCUAAUACCGCAUAACGUCGCAAGACCAAAGAGGGGGACCUUCGGGCCUCUUGCCCUCAGAUGUGCCCAGAUGGGAUUAGCUAGUAGGUGGGGUAAUGGCUCACCUAGGCGACGAUCCCUAGCUGGUCUGAGAGGAUGACCAGCCACACUGGAACUGAGACACGGUCCAGACUCCUACGGGAGGCAGCAGUGGGGAAUAUUGCACAAUGGGCGCAAGCCUGAUGCAGCCAUGCCGCGUGUGUGAAGAAGGCCUUCGGGUUGUAAAGCACUUUCGGCGGGGAGGAAGGUGGUGAACUUAAUACGUUCAUCAAUUGACGUUACUCGCAGAAGAAGCACCGGCUAACUCCGUG